GUCUGACCCAAAAACCCCCGUUUUCAACCCAAAAUGCCCCACCCAAAAAGCCCCAGUUUCGACCCAAAAUCAGCCCCGAAGCGUCUGACCCGAAAAGCGCCGUUUUCAACCCCAAAAUCAGCCCCAAAACGGGGCAGAUCGAAGCCAAAAUGUCUGACUCAAAAACCCCCGCUUUCAACCCAAAAUGCCUGACCCAAAAAGUCCCGCUUUCAACCCAAAAUCAGCCCCAAAAUGGGGCAGAUUCAACCUCAAAUGUCUGACCCAAAAAGCCUCGUUUUCAACCCAAAAUGUGCAACCCAAAAAGCCCCGUUCUCAACCCAACAUGUCUGACCCAAAAACCCACGCUUUCAACCCAAAAUGCCCCACCCAAAAAGCCCCAGUUUCGACCCCAAAUCAGCCCCAAAACGAGCAGAUUCCACCCAAAGAGUCUGACCCAAAAAGCCCUGGUUUCAACCCAAAAUCAGCACCCAAAUGGAGCAAAUUCAACCCAAAGUGUCUGACCCAAAAACCCCCGUUUUCAACCCAAAAUGCCCCACCCCAAAAGCCCCCUUUUCGACCCAAAAUCAGCCCCGAAGCGUCUGACCCGAAAAGCGCCGUUUUCAACCCCAAAUCAGCCCCCAAAUGGGGCACGUUCAACCCAAAAUCAGCCCCAAAACACAGCACGUUUAACCCACAAUGUCUGACCCAAAAAGCCCCGUUUUCAACCCAAAAUCAGCCCCAAAAUAAAGCAAAUUCAACCCAAAAUGCCCCACCCAAAAAGCCCCCUUUUCGACCCAAAGUGUCUGACCCAAAAAGCCCCACUUUUAACCCCAAAUCAGCCCCCAAAUGGAGCAGAUUCAACCCAAAGUGUCUGACCCAAAAACCCCCGUUUUCAACCCAAAAUGCCCCACCCAAAAAGCCCCCGUUUCGACCCAAAAUCAGCCCCGAAGCGUCUGACCCAAAAAGCGCCGUUUUCAACCCCAAAUCAGCCCCCAAAUGGAGCACAUUCAACCCAAAAUCAGCCCCCACAUGCAGUAGAUUCAACCCAAAGCGUCUGACCCAAAAACCCCCGUUUUCAACCCAAAAUGCCCAACCCAAAAAGCCCCCUUUUCGACCCCAAAUCAGCCCCCAAAUGGCGCACAUUCAACCCAAAAUCAGCCCCGAAACGGAGCACAUUCAACCCAAAGCGUCUGACCCAAAAACCCCCGCUUUCAACCCAAAAUCAGCCCCCAAAAUGGGGCAGAUUCAACCCAAAAUGUCUGGCCCCAAAAGCCCCCCCAUAUCCC
RNAcentral lists this long non-coding RNA (1265 nucleotides) under Numida meleagris (helmeted guineafowl). Its description in RNAcentral is "lncRNA (ENSNMEG00000001951.1)". The record is from RNAcentral. Lineage: Eukaryota; Metazoa; Chordata; Aves; Galliformes; Numididae.